Molecule: ribosomal RNA, 751 nt
Filed under: uncultured Streptococcus sp.
Lineage: Bacteria; Bacillati; Bacillota; Bacilli; Lactobacillales; Streptococcaceae
Description: bacterial SSU rRNA
Rfam family: Bacterial small subunit ribosomal RNA
Source: RNAcentral
CUGGCGGCGUGCCUAAUACAUGCAAGUAGAACGCUGAAGAGAGGAGCUUGCUCUUCUUGGAUGAGUUGCGAACGGGUGAGUAACGCGUAGGUAACCUGCCUGGUAGCGGGGGAUAACUAUUGGAAACGAUAGCUAAUACCGCAUAAAAUGGAUUAUCGCAUGAUAAUCAAUUGAAAGGUGCAAAUGCAUCACUACCAGAUGGACCUGCGUUGUAUUAGCUAGUUGGUGGGGUAACGGCUCACCAAGGCGACGAUACAUAGCCGACCUGAGAGGGUGAUCGGCCACACUGGGACUGAGACACGGCCCAGACUCCUACGGGAGGCAGCAGUAGGGAAUCUUCGGCAAUGGACGGAAGUCUGACCGAGCAACGCCGCGUGAGUGAAGAAGGUUUUCGGAUCGUAAAGCUCUGUUGUAAGAGAAGAACGAGUGUGAGAGUGGAAAGUUCACACUGUGACGGUAUCUUACCAGAAAGGGACGGCUAACUACGUGCCAGCAGCCGCGGUAAUACGUAGGUCCCGAGCGUUGUCCGGAUUUAUUGGGCGUAAAGCGAGCGCAGGCGGUUAGAUAAGUCUGAAGUUAAAGGCUGUGGCUUAACCAUAGUACGCUUUGGAAACUGUUUAACUUGAGUGCAAGAGGGGAGAGUGGAAUUCCAUGUGUAGCGGUGAAAUGCGUAGAUAUAUGGAGGAACACCGGUGGCGAAAGCGGCUCUCUGGCUUGUAACUGACGCUGAGGCUCGAAAGCGUGGGGAGCA